AUCAGGGGUAAACCUGUGGAACUCGAACGAGCGAACGGGGAGACUCAUCGUUCUUCCGCGGGCCAGCGGCGCGCGAUUACGUCGCGGAUUCGUCCGCGAAGAUUCGCGCGUCGUCUUCGGUCCGCGGAGUGCGUGCACUUCUCCCUUAGUAAAACACUGCGACCCGUUGAAUGCGGUCGGUCGAACGCGCGUGCGAUUGUCCAGUCUUCUCCGGGAGAUUGAGUCGCGGCGUCGUGGCUGGCUUUCGACGGUAACGAACGAGGUUCGCGUCCGCCUCUCAGGCGUCCGCGGCGCGGCGGCGUCGUUCCCCUUCAGGUCUUCUGCGCGCAAGCGUCGUAAGUAUCUGUCGCGGUCGACGGAGGCGAUUUUCGGAUCGUCUCCGUCGCGAACGGCGCGUCUGCCGCGUCGCUCGGACGGGACGCGUCCCGGUCAGCGGUGGUUUUGUUUCGGGCACUCACAGGACCC
RNAcentral lists this ribosomal RNA (465 nucleotides) under Cheumatopsyche lucida. RNAcentral describes it as "partial large subunit ribosomal RNA". Lineage: Eukaryota; Metazoa; Arthropoda; Insecta; Trichoptera; Hydropsychidae. The record is from RNAcentral.